This 492-nucleotide ribosomal RNA is filed under the name uncultured bacterium. RNAcentral's name for it is "partial 16S ribosomal RNA". It matches the Rfam family "Bacterial small subunit ribosomal RNA", at positions 29 to 507 of the family's 1533-position model. The record is from RNAcentral.
AGUGAACGCUGGCGGUAGGCCUAACACAUGCAAGUCGAACGGCAGCACAGUAAGAGCUUGCUCUUACGGGUGGCGAGUGGCGGACGGGUGAGGAAUACAUCGGAAUCUACUUUUUCGGGGGGGAUAACGUAGGGAAACAUACGCUAAUACCGCAUACGACCUACGGGUGAAAUCAGGGGAGCUUCGGACCUUGCGCGACUGAAUGAGCCGAUGUCGGAUUAGCUAGUUGGCGGGGUAAAGGCCCACCAAGGCGACGAUCCGUAGCUGGUCUGAGAGGAUGAUCAGCCACACUGGAACUGAGACACGGUCCAGACUCCUACGGGAGGCAGCAGUGGGGAAUAUUGGACAAUGGGCGCAAGCCUGAUCCAGCCAUACCGCGUGAGUGAAGAAGGCCUUCGGGUUGUAAAGCCCUUUUGUUGGGAAAGAAAAGCAGCAGAUGUAUCCCCCGCUGUUCUGACGGUACCCAAAGAAUAAGCACCGGCUAACUUCGUG